This is a non-coding RNA of Delphinapterus leucas (beluga whale), 2539 nucleotides long. The record is from RefSeq and is a predicted model, not a curated record. Lineage: Eukaryota; Metazoa; Chordata; Mammalia; Artiodactyla; Monodontidae.
UGUAACAGUGUGUUCAACACCAGAUGACUUGUCCUAGGAAAUUAUAAACAAACCACUUCCUACACUUCCACCAGAUAGUAGCUGCCUGGGCUUUGGAAACAGGCAUCAUGACUGGCACGAUUAAAGCUAAAGGGAAGAGAACCAGCAGGAACCGUUCACGGAAAUGAUGAGAAACUAGGCCAAAGACCAGGGAGCAGGUGGACGGACACAUGACAGCAGCCCAGAGCCCUGUGGAGAAGCCAGAAGCCGGGAGAGAAUCUGAUAAUUGUGGGUGGUGGUUACUAAGCAAAAACAAACAAAAAAACAAACAGCGAAGCGCAUUUACGGAGGAAGGGGGGAAAUGGAUGAAAAGGUCCAAGCCAAGGAGUAUGGAAGCUGAAGAAGCUUUGCUCACUAGUUAAAAGAAUGCCAAGCGCUCAAUGGAUGCUUCGCAGGGAGCGGGGACAAAAAGGCAAUGCGAAACCACGGAAGACGACAGCGGAGAGCUGUGGGAUCCGUCCCCAGGAGAAGGAUGAGUGAGAGGCUGCAUACAGUAGGCCUGCUCGCUCGCAUCCAUCGUGCACGUCAGCCUUCACAAAAGGAGAGCAUGGAGGGUGUCCUUCUUGGGGCAGUGCCCACAGCUCUGUGGCCGGGGCAAGAAUAAUUAGCACAGAUACCAGCGGCAGACAGCCUUCCAAAGUACAUUGCUGAAGGAAAGAGGAGCCGCCAGGUCAUGUGUCUGCCCAUCUGGCAUCACCCCACUCUCAACAGUGUCUGCAAAAACACCCUGGACUUCUUAGAGGUACAUCAUCUGAUCUCCCUAACAGGCUGUCAUGUGCUGAAAGAUUAAGGAACAGAAUUCUUACAUUGCCUAAGGCAGCAGCAUGGUUUGCGUUUUAAAAAUUGGUUCCGUGGCAAAGAAAUCUCCUUUGGAAACAUUACAAGAAGAGCUAUAAAACUUACUACGCAUCUGCACUACCCAUCUGAACAUCUUAUGAAGCACAGUCCUCGGUCAAGCCCAGAUCACCAGAAAUCUGAGCCUGCAACGGGAGUAAGCCCUCCAGAUAAGGAAGACAUCACAUCUUGAGCAAAAGUCACGUUGUGAGCUUGAUUCCAGCCCUCCCCCUAGUCACCUGCCACAGGCCACGUGAUGCAAUGCUGCUGUGUCCCCUGAUUCCAUCUGUCUGGCAUUCUAUUAACAGGGACCCCCAACGACUAGAAUUCCACAUUAAUACAACAUUGAUAAUGACCCAGGGUCACAAAGUUGCUCAAAUGAAAUUUUAAUUAUUUUGGUAGUACUUUAGCAGUCUGGUGUGUUAGAUUAUUUAGCGAUUUCACAACUUGGGUUAUUAUACAACAAAUAAAAUUUAAUAUUUUAACAAUUGUGGUUAUUAGAAAGCAAAUUCUCCACAAAGGUAAUUAAAGUGUCUCUAGUAAUAUGUGAUUUUCCCCAAUACACCAAUUCCCUGACUUUCCUGACCAAGAUACAGAUGUUUAUAAGGAUGUCCCACCUAGGGCAUAUCUGAAGAAAAUAAUAAAAUUAUACACUUUACACAGAUGACAACAAGCAACCUUAGAAUGGAGACUACACACCUGCCUGCACUCUGCACAGCCAGAACGUGAAGUUCCCUUUCCCAAUUGCCAGUGAGGACCUCAAAGAAUGUUCUCCUGGAGGGCUGCCAGGGUUUUGUAUUGGUAUCUGAGGGAGCAUUCUGGGAGGUGCCCAUGAGCUAAAGCAGCAGAGAAUUCCAACUUGCAAACAUUUCAGGCGUUUUAAUUUUUAUUACAAUUUAAACUAUGUAAGCACAGCCCUCAGGAAAAGGAAAACUUGAUGAUCAAACCUUUUUUCCACUUUAAUGACUCCAUUAAUUUAUUCUUCCAACUACAAUCAGAUGGCAUCUUGCAUGCACACAUAUAUAUGAUAUUCAAGGCACACGGGACCAAGACUCUCUGUCCCCCACACUGUGCAUUUCAAACCUUAUAAUGUCUCAUUUUAGCUACUUUAGGGAGCUGGCAUGAGGCUUUUCAGCAGCCCGAGUCUGCCGCAAGACCUGUCUUGGUGGGAAGGAGAAAACCUUAUACUUAGCAUGCUGAGAAGCCGAUUUUAAAAAAAAGAGGAAAUUGUUAUAAUUACAGUGAGAGCUUUUGCAUGCAAAUUCAGUUUUCCUUGGGGGAAAUUUGCAUACUCUACAAGGAAUCCCCAUGCCAAAAGUAAACGCAAAGCUUUUUAGCUCCAGUCUUUAAAAGCGAAGCACAUGGCCAGGAAUUGCAUAGUCUGUGAAUGUGUUCCAGGCCCGGCCCAGAUAUGCUGUUUAUAAAAGAAAGGACUUUACAAUGCAGUUUAUAAUAUUUAAAAGGUACAACAUUUAUGCUGCAAGAGGUGACAGUUAUCAAUCAGGCUGAGACAACCAAUAAAGAGUAGGACAGUGUUUCAACAGGGCUCCAAAACUUACCUAAACCCUUUUUCAUAAAGAUAAAUACAUUUUAAAAGAUUCAUUUCUCCUCUGAUUCUUUUUUUUUUAACAUCUUUAUUGGAGUAUAGUUGCUUUACAACGGUGUG